UACGUAGGGGGCAAGCGUUGUCCGGAAUUAUUGGGCGUAAAGAGCGCGUAGGCGGUCCGGUAAGUCGGCUGUGAAAGUCAAGGGCUCAACCCUUGAAAGCCGGCCGAUACUGUCGGACUAGAGUCCGGAAGAGGUGAGUGGAAUUCCCGGUGUAGCGGUGAAAUGCGCAGAUAUCGGGAGGAACACCAAUGGCGAAGGCAGCUCGCUGGGACGGUACUGACGCUGAGGCGCGAAAGCUAGGGGAGCAAACAGG
This 253-nucleotide ribosomal RNA is filed under the name uncultured bacterium. RNAcentral describes it as "partial 16S ribosomal RNA". It matches the Rfam family "Bacterial small subunit ribosomal RNA", at positions 524 to 776 of the family's 1533-position model. The record is from RNAcentral.